Molecule: small nucleolar RNA, 138 nt
Organism: Gadus morhua (Atlantic cod)
Lineage: Eukaryota; Metazoa; Chordata; Actinopteri; Gadiformes; Gadidae
Source: Ensembl
ACAGGCUCCUAUCCAAGCUGUCCAUGCUAUCUCUGUUGCGCCAGACGGUCAUCAGGUUGCCAGCCUGAUGACCUUCAGCGACGGUCGCUGUUUGGUUCCUUAAUGACGGUUUCAGCAACAUAAAGGGGAAGAACAAUU